This 460-nucleotide ribosomal RNA is filed under the name uncultured bacterium. RNAcentral's name for it is "partial 16S ribosomal RNA". It matches the Rfam family "Bacterial small subunit ribosomal RNA", at positions 338 to 795 of the family's 1533-position model. The record is from RNAcentral.
CCUACGGGUGGCAGCAGUGAGGAAUAUUGGUCAAUGGUCGGGAGACUGAACCAGCCAAGCCGCGUGAGGGAGGAAGGUACAGAGUAUCGUAAACCUCUUUUGUCAGGGAACAAAGGCGGGGACGUGUCCCCGGAUGAGUGUACCUGAAGAAAAAGCAUCGGCUAACUCCGUGCCAGCAGCCGCGGUAAUACGGAGGAUGCGAGCGUUAGCCGGAUUUAAUGGGGUUAAAGGGUGCGCAGGCGGUCUGUUAAGUCAGCGGUCAAAGCCCGGGGCCUAAACCCGGCCCGGCGUUGGAACCGGGCAGUCUCGAGUUGGAGAGAAGUAUGCGGAAUGCGCGGUGUAGCGGUGAAAUGCAUAGAUAUCGCGCAGAACUCCGAUUGCGAAGGCAGCAUGCCGGCUCCACACUGACGCUGAGGCACGAAAGCGUGGGUAUCGAACAGGAUUAGAUACCCGUGUAGUC